CUAAUUUUAAUUCCAAAUUAAAGUUUUGACCCCAAUUUCACAGUCCACUGAACAUAGAAAAUGAUAGUGGGAGUGGGGCAUCCGUGUACUAUGGACACAUUCUUGUUUAACUUUAAAAAAUCUUCUCCUCUAAAACUACUGAAUCUUCAAUUCAACUGAAGUUUAUAAUCACCUUUAAAAAACAAACUUCAAAAUCUCACACCAAACACUUUUUUCUUUUGAAGAAAGUAUGACAAAAAACUGCAUUUUCAAACACUUAUUAAUAUACAUUAAACCAAAAAAAUAAAAAAAAAAAACUAUGAUGAAAUUGGACACUUAAACUCUUAAACGAAAGAUAAAUGCUAAAAUAAUCAAGGUGAGCGAUUCAGGCUCUUGAGAGCCUCUUGUUAUUCUUCACAUUAAAACAUUUUUGUCCUGAUAUGUAUGUAAUAAUUGCCACUGUACGUUUGUACUGCACGUUUGAUACCAAUCCAUCCAUUUGUCCAUCUUUCAGUGACUUUGAAAUAUUCACAUAAAUCUUACAAUAAUUAUAUGUAUUUAAAGGUUAUGAAAACUUGCAAAUACAAAUUGCUCAAAAUGUUUUCAGCCAUCUCACAAAGGUUAGACUAUGUCAAAAAAUAUCAACCAAAAUAAGUUGUUGUAUGGUAUCUAAAAUCAUAUUGUAAUUGUACAUUGUUGUAACUUGCAAAUUGUAAGAUAUCCCAUGACAACGAGAAUAGUGUCAAGGGUAUUCUUAGUAAAUGUUAGCUUUUUUUUAUAUAGAUUGAAUUCAAAAUUGAUACUCAGCUAUGUAUAAAGGUGCAAGAGAACCAUUUUCAAAAUCAGAUACUCGACCAUGUUUCAAAUACAGUCAUAUAGUGACUUCAGUCCUGGUAUCUAUGAUGAGUUUAUUUAUGUAAACACUGGUUUAUUUAUGCAGCAGCGUUUUGUAGAAUGCGAUACAUUUGUGCACCACAUUUAUAUGACUCUCUAAAUGACAGAAUAACCUGUUAGUUUUGAUAACAAUAAGACAUUCAUCUCCACUGCAGAUUUUCUACUGUUGUAUUCUCAGGUUGUAUAAUUUGUGUUACAUUUCUGACAUUUGAAUAAGUAAUGAAAUGCAUCUUCAUUGUUAUUGUAAAAUGAAUGUAAAGAAAAAUUAUUGUUUAUACACAUGUAUUUAUAUUUCUCAUAGAUUUGUAUGAUAACCACACAUUUUAUACAUAAAAAAAGCAAACAUUGAUGUGUUUAUUUUUCUGUUGCCAUUUUAACUGAUCACUUUGAAAUAAUUUACCUUAUUUGUGACCAUAAUCACAUUAAUACUCUU
This 1306-nucleotide long non-coding RNA is filed under the name Mytilus galloprovincialis (Mediterranean mussel). Lineage: Eukaryota; Metazoa; Mollusca; Bivalvia; Mytilida; Mytilidae. The record is from RNAcentral.